This 539-nucleotide ribosomal RNA is filed under the name uncultured archaeon. Its description in RNAcentral is "bacterial SSU rRNA". It matches the Rfam family "Archaeal small subunit ribosomal RNA", at positions 460 to 997 of the family's 1478-position model. The record is from RNAcentral.
AGCCGCCGCGGGAACACCGGCGGCCCGAGUGGUGAUCGUGAUUAUUGGGUCUAAAGGGUCCGUAGCCGGUUUGGUCAGUCUCCGGGAAAUCUGAUAGCUCAACUAUUAGGGCUUUCGGGGGAUACUGCCAGACUUGGAACCGGGAGAGGUAAGAGGUACUACAGGGGUAGGAGUGAAAUCUUGUAAUCCCUGUGGGACCACCUGUGGCGAAGGCGUCUUACCAGAACGGGUUCGACGGUGAGGGACGAAAGCUGGGGGCACGAACCGGAUUAGAUACCCGGGUAGUCCCAGCCGUAAACGAUGCUCGCUAGGUGUCAGGCAUGGCGCGACCGUGUCUGGUGCCGCAGGGAAGCCGUGAAGCGAGCCACCUGGGAAGUACGGCCGCAAGGCUGAAACUUAAAGGAAUUGGCGGGGGAGCACAACAACGGGUGGAGCCCUGCGGUUUAAUUGGACUCAACGCCGGACAACUCACCGGGGGCGACAGCAAUAUGUAGGCCAAGCUGAAGACUUUGCCUGAAUCGCUGAGAAGAGGUGCAUGG